This 501-nucleotide ribosomal RNA is filed under the name uncultured bacterium. Its description in RNAcentral is "partial 16S ribosomal RNA". It matches the Rfam family "Bacterial small subunit ribosomal RNA", at positions 29 to 523 of the family's 1533-position model. The record is from RNAcentral.
AUUGAACGCUGGCGGCAUGCCUUACACAUGCAAGUCGAACGGCAGCACGGGUGCUUGCACCUGGUGGCGAGUGGCGAACGGGUGAGUAAUACAUCGGAACGUACCUUAUCGUGGGGGAUAACGCAGCGAAAGCUGUGCUAAUACCGCAUACGCCCUGAGGGGGAAAGCGGGGGAUCGCACGCCCUCGCGCGACUAGAGCGGCCGAUGCCUGAUUAGCUUGUUGGUGGGGUAAAAGCCCACCAAGGCGACGAUCAGUAGCUGGUCUGCGAGGACGAUCAGCCACACUGGGACUGAGACAUGGCCCAGACUCCUACGGGAGGCAGCAGUGGGGAAUUUUGGACAAUGGGGGCAACCCUGAUCCAGCAAUGCCGCGUGAGUGAAGAAGGCCUUCGGGUUGUAAAGCUCUUUUGUCAGGGAAGAAACACCGGCUCUAACACAGUCCGGGAAUGACGGUACCUGAAGAAUAAGCACCGGCUAACUACGUGCCAGCCGCCGCCGUAA